This 2944-nucleotide long non-coding RNA is filed under the name Strigops habroptila (Kakapo). RNAcentral's name for it is "lncRNA (ENSSHBG00005020909.1)". Lineage: Eukaryota; Metazoa; Chordata; Aves; Psittaciformes; Psittacidae. The record is from RNAcentral.
GCGAGCGCGGAGCCAGGUGAGCGCGGACCCUGCGCGACCGGCCCGUCCGCACCGCCCUCGGCACGCACCGCGGCUCGGGCACCGCCACGGCGGGGCGGGCGUGCAUCAGCCCCGGGUGCAUGGACACAGCGGGUGUGGGUGCAUCAGCUCUGCGUGCAUGGACACGGCGGGUGUGGAUGCAUCAGCUCUGGGUGCAUGGACACGGCGGGUGUGGGUGCAUCAACUCUGGGUGCAUGGGCACAGCGGGUGUGGGUGCAUCAGCUCUGGGUGCAUGGACACGGCGGGUGUGGGUGCAUCAGCCCCGGGUGGCAGUGCGGGCCCAUGCAGCCGGGCAAGCUGGGUUGCCCAGGGGCAAAUGCUGCCCAUCCCCUGGAUGAAGUCGCCGGUCCAGGCUCAGGCCGUGCUGGUGGGGGGAGCCCUUCCCUGCCGCAGACAUUAACAGCCCCCAGCGGCACCCUCUCCUGCUCCUGGCGCCGCUGGAGGCAUGGCCGGAGGCGCUGGUCAGGCUGCAGGCUGGGGAGCUGGCGCCGAGCUCCUGGUCUGUGCCAUCAGCAGAGAGCACUGUUCAAUCGCUGCUCGCCUUGGCUCGGGGCCAUUUCUGCUCUGGACACAAAGCCCUUGCCAGUUCCCUGCUGUGCUCCCGGGUGCCGUGUCCAGCUGGUUAGCGCGGCUCACCACCCGUCUCCCCAGGGACGUGCAGCCCGGUGGGAGCAGGGAUACCCCCUUUGGAAGCGGGGAGCCCCUUUCCAUCACAGGAGCCGCUGGAGAGGCAGCGCCCAGCCCGCCUGCGGGGCUGCCUCCGUGCUGGUGCCUGCUCUGUGCGCUGGGGAGAGCUGUGCUGGGUGACAGCGGCUCCGCGGGUGUACAGGGGUGGCAGGGGGCUGGAACCAGAUGAUCUCUAAGGUCCCUUCCAACCCAAAACAUUCUAUGAUUCUAUGAUCUGCCCAUCUUCGAUGCUAGAGCUUGAAACUCCGCAAGUUCUCUGCUCCCUCGAAGAGCCAGCACUGAGCACAAUCUGGCAAGCCUCUCCCCUCCAAAAUGCCUGUUUGUCCCUGGGACUGUCUCAGCGGAGCUGAGAGCAGCCACUGGCCUGAGCGUGCUGCAGUGCAGGACCCCUCAGGUCCUGCCAGGGAGCUGUGCUGGAUGCAGCCAGCUCCUGCCCCGCUCCUCUGCUGCCACUCGCUCACAUUUCACUGAGCUGUGACCCCCGUGGGUUCACAUUGCCCUGAGCCCUGCAGUGGGGCAGACAGCAACCCGAACCCAGCAGCUGGGGUUUCAGAGGCAGGGCAGGGCGGCUGUGCUCCUGGGGUCACCUCCUCGUCUGUGGUCUGCCCCGCGGCAGACACGUGCCUCUCUGCGAGCCGAGGGGAUGCAGGGGCUCCGGGUAAGCCGGCCUGCUCCCCCUGCCCAGCAGCCGCCCUCUGCACCUCUCCCUGCCAGCUCUUGCCCUGCGCUGCCGGAGGCCGCCACCAUGACCCUCACCAAAGGCUCCUUCACCUACUCCAACGGGGAGGAGUACCGCGGCGAGUGGAAGGAAGGUCGCAGGCACGGCGUUGGGCAGCUGAUGUUUGCUGAUGGCACCGCUUACGUGGGGCACUUCGAGAACGGGCUGUUCCACGGCUGUGGCGUGCUCACCUUCUCUGACGGCUCCAGGUACGAGGGGGAGUUUGUGCAGGGCAAGUUCAACGGCGUCGGCGUCUUCACCCGCUGCGACAACAUGACUUUUGAGGGCGAGUUCAAAGGCGGGCGUGUGUACGGCUUCGGUCUCCUGACCUUCCCCGAUGGCUCCCACGGGGUGCCCCGCAACGAGGGCUUCUUUGAGAACAACAAGCUGCUGCGGCGCGAGAAGUGCCCGGCCGUCAUCCAGAGGGCCCAGGGUGCCUCCAAGUCUGCACACAACCUGACAGCGUGAUGGUGCCCCACGUCCCCUCCCGCCGCAGAAGGGACCCCCCCACUGGGCAUCAGCUGGCCCUGCCAUCCCCAGAGCAGGGAUGUGGCACUGCUGGGUGCCCCCCUGCCCUCUGUCUCCGCCAAGCCCCCCCUGCCAAACCCCCAUGGCUGGGGAGGACCCCUCCACCCAAGUGCCGCAGGGCAGCCGUGGUGCCUUCUCUCUCUGGCUAUAGCCCUGGCACCCGCUGGAGCAGCACGGGGACGGGGUGGCUGGGGCUCGGCUCCUCUGCCCCCAGGAAGACUGUGGAGCGCUGGGGCUGCUGGCCUGCUGCAGAGGAUGGAGCAGGGGUGUAGGGGCUGAGCCCUCACCCCACUGCCAGGGUGCCUUGGCUGGGAGCUGCUGGCUGGACCACGCGCUUGCAGAGCGGCAACUCCUAGCCCACUUCACUACCCUGGUUUCGAGGCAAGGUGGGCACCCUGUGGCCUGUCCCCCUUCUGGGUGACUGGCCAUCCCCCAGCUUGCCUGGGCAGGGUGACGUGGUGCCCUGAAAGGACCCAGCCUGCUCUCGGCCCUGGCAAUGGGCUGUGUCCCCCUCAUCCCUGUGCCUUGGGGACAUCUGCAGCAGUAUCCCCAAGAAAGGGGAUCAGGGAACACGCAGCCUGGCUAUGUCUGCUGCACACUGGGGGAGGGCUGGAGGCAUGGUGAGCUGGGAGCAGGGUCUGACAGAGCCCAGAAUGAGGGGCACAAGCAGGGCUGUGUAGGGGCCAGGGCUGGAGCAGGGGGUCCAUUCGGGGCAGGUGGGGAUAGGGGCACGGUGAAGGGGCAGGCAGGGUGGGCAGGGAGCACACAGCUCCCCAUCUUGCCCCCCACGUGCAUCCUUCAUCUCCCUUCACCCUGGUGCGGUCUGGCCGUGGUGCGGGGGUCCCGGCAGCCCUCGCAGCCAUGGCCUUCCCUGCCGGUCUCUGCCCGCACCGGUCCCGUGCCUUGCCGUGACCCUGCCUUGUGCUGCUGCCUGCACAGGCCUCAGCUGAGUAAAUCACGUUGCCAAACGCA